RNAcentral lists this non-coding RNA (148 nucleotides) under Chlorocebus sabaeus (green monkey). Lineage: Eukaryota; Metazoa; Chordata; Mammalia; Primates; Cercopithecidae. The record is from Rfam by way of RNAcentral.
GCUGGGUGUCGUGGUACGCGCCUGUAAUCCCAGUUACCAGGGAGGCUGAGGCAGGAGAAUCGCUUGAACCCAGGAGACUGAGGUUGCAGUGAGCCAAUAUCGCACCACUGCACUCCAGCCUGGGUGACACAGCGAGACUCUGUCUCAA